This 400-nucleotide ribosomal RNA is filed under the name uncultured archaeon. RNAcentral describes it as "bacterial SSU rRNA". It matches the Rfam family "Archaeal small subunit ribosomal RNA", at positions 19 to 418 of the family's 1478-position model. The record is from RNAcentral.
GGAGGCUACUGCUAUUGGAAUUCGACUAAGCCAUGCGAGUCAAGGUGUCUUCGGACGCCGGCAAACGGCUCAAGUAACACGUAGGUAAUCUACCCUCAGGACUGAGAUAACCCCGGGAAACUGGGGCGUAAUACCAGAUAGAUAAAAGAAUACUGGAAUGUUCUUUUAUUCCAAAGCUUUUGUUGCCUGAGGAUGAGCCUGCGCCCGAUUAGGUAGUUGGUGGGGUAAUGGCCCACCAAGCCUGCGAUCGGUACGGGCAGUGGGAGCUGUAGCCCGGAGUUGGGGACUGAGACAAGGCCCCAGGCCCUACGGGGCGCAGCAGGCGCGAAACCUCUGCAAUGCGGGAAACCGUGACAGGGGGAUUCCAAGUGCUAGCACUUUGUGUUAGCUGUUCUUCUGU